This 310-nucleotide ribosomal RNA is filed under the name uncultured Idiomarina sp. RNAcentral's name for it is "bacterial SSU rRNA". It matches the Rfam family "Bacterial small subunit ribosomal RNA", at positions 30 to 334 of the family's 1533-position model. Lineage: Bacteria; Pseudomonadati; Pseudomonadota; Gammaproteobacteria; Alteromonadales; Idiomarinaceae. The record is from RNAcentral.
AUUGAACGCUGGCGGCCGGCCUAACACAUGCAAGUCGAGCGGUAACAGGAAGAAGCUUGCUUCUUUGCUGACGAGCGGCGGACGGGUGAGUAAGACUUGGGAACUUGCCUUUAGGCGGGGGAUAACUACGGGAAACUGUGGCUAAUACCGCAUAAUGUCUACGGACCAAAGUGGGGGAUCUUCGGACCUCACGCCUAAAGAUGGGCCCAAGCGAGAUUAGCUAGUUGGUGGGGUAACGGCUCACCAAGGCGACGAUCUCUAGCUGUUCUGAGAGGAUGAUCAGCCACACUGGGACUGAGACACGGCCCAG